UUGACCUCGGAUCAGGUAGGGAUACCCGCUGAACUUAAGCAUAUCAAUAAGCGGAGGAAAAGAAACCAACAGGGAUUGCCUCAGUAACGGCGAGUGAAGCGGCAAGAGCUCAAAUUUGAAAAUCUGGCUCCUUCGGGGUCCGAGUUGUAAUUUGUAGAGGAUGCUUCGGGUGCGGCCCCCGUCUAAGUGCUCUGGAACGGGCCAUCGGAGAGGGUGAAAAUCCCGUCUGGGACGGGGUGUCCGCGUCCAUGUGAAGCUCCUUCGACGAGUCGAGUUGUUUGGGAAUGCAGCUCUAAAUGGGUGGUAAAUUUCAUCUAAAGCUAAAUACUGGCCGGAGACCGAUAGCGCACAAGUAGAGUGAUCGAAAGAUGAAAAGCACUUUGAAAAGAGAGUUAAACAGCACGUGAAAUUGUUGAAAGGGAAGCGCUUGCGACCAGACUCGCUUCCGGGGUUCAGCCGGCUUUCGGGCCGGUGUACUUCCCCGGGGGCGGGCCAGCGUCGGUUUGGGCGGCCGGUCAAAGGCCCCUGGAAUGUAACGCCCCUCGGGGCGCCUUAUAGCCAGGGGUGUCAUGCGGCCAGCCUGGACCGAGGAACGCGC
Molecule: ribosomal RNA, 598 nt
Filed under: Aspergillus niveoglaucus
Lineage: Eukaryota; Fungi; Ascomycota; Eurotiomycetes; Eurotiales; Aspergillaceae
Description: eukaryotic LSU rRNA
Rfam family: Eukaryotic large subunit ribosomal RNA
Source: RNAcentral